ACAUUGGGGGGCAUGGGGUCAAUGGGGUCACGUUGGGGGCAAUGAGGACAUUGAGGUGACAUUGGGGACAUUGGGGUCACACUGGGGACAUCGGGGUGACAUUGGGGUCAAUGGGGUCACAUUGGGGUGGCAGUGGGGUCAAUGGGGUGACAUUGGGGACACCGGGGUGACAUUGGGGACAUUGGGGUCAUGUUGGGGACAAUGGGGUCACGUUGGGGUCACAAUGGGGUCAAACGGGGACACGUGGAUCCCAUUGGGGGCAACGCGACCCCAUGGACACAAUGAAAUCAAUGGGGCAGUGAGGCCACGCCCCCUUCAUUUGCAUACAGGCAGCGUGUUUCUUGGCUCCAACUUUGGGCCAUAAUUUAAUAAAAAUGUUUAAAAAAAAAAAAUUAUAAAAACGUUUUUAAAAAAACCCGAGAAAAGGAAGAUUAAAAACGGCCCACGAGGCCACGCCCACUCAGAAGGCCACGCCCCCAAGUGGGCGUGGCCGUUAGGGAAGAUCCCGCCCCCUUCAGUUCAGUGGGUGGGGCCAUGGGAGAUGAUGUCAUCAAGCUGCGCCACGUGGAGAACGUCAGGCCGAGGUGGCGGCCAUGUUGGAUUGGUAGCCAUCUUGGAGUGGCAGCCAUCUUGGAUUGGCGGCCAUCUUGGUGGGUGCCAUCUUGGAAUGGCGACCUUCUUGGUGGAGCCAGCCAUCUUGGAAUGGCAGCCAUCUCGUCACGACGCCCCUCAUGGCGGUGGCGGCCAUCUUGGCACAGCACCCCUCAUCCUGGCGGCGGCCAUCUUGCCCCGGUGGGCACCCAGUGGUCCGCAGCGCCACGUUGGGUGGGGGGUGACUCACAGAGGGGGUCCGUGGGCAGCACCUUUGGGUGCCUCCUCCCCCGUGCUGUGGGUGCUGCUGAGGAUGCACUGCAGCUGCUGCCCGCCCGGCUGCACCUCCGUGCACUGCAGCUCCCUGGGGGGCAACGGAGACGUCCCCCACUGUCCCCAUUGACCCCAACGUGACCCCAGUGCCCCACGGACCCCAAUUUGACCCCGUUGAUCCCAGUGACCCAAUGAACCCAAUGUCCCCACUGACCCCCCUGUCCCCAUUGACCCCAAUUCCACCCCGUUGAUCCCAGUGACCCAAUGAAGCCCCCUCCCCCAUCCCCCCACCCUCCCCAUUACCC
This 1169-nucleotide long non-coding RNA is filed under the name Phasianus colchicus (ring-necked pheasant). RNAcentral's name for it is "lncRNA (ENSPCLG00000017885.1)". Lineage: Eukaryota; Metazoa; Chordata; Aves; Galliformes; Phasianidae. The record is from RNAcentral.